Molecule: non-coding RNA, 5185 nt
Organism: Nicotiana tabacum (common tobacco)
Lineage: Eukaryota; Viridiplantae; Streptophyta; Magnoliopsida; Solanales; Solanaceae
Source: RefSeq, a predicted model, not a curated record
AAGAAAUUUCGUUUAGAGAUAUUCUUACUUUGACCUGGAAAACUUGCGGUGCUCUGACAGUCAUCUCUCUUGUGAACGGGUGGUUUACAGAUACCUACUCUCCUGUUGCUUCCGCCAACGUCUUCCCCGUUAAUCUGCAGCGUACCUAUCUCGAAGCAUGUUUGAUGAUUCCCCUCUUCUGUCGUUGUUGAAGCCAAUGGAUUUUGAGUCAAAGUUCUAUAAAGUUACGCGUAGGUUAAUUUUACACAGAGGCUAUUUCGAAAUCCCUAGUGGUUGGGCUUAAAUUUGAUCAUUGGAAGGUUAUGGUGUUAUCGGUGGCUGAAAAGGGGAAAUAGAGUGCUUCUUCCAUGUUUGUUGGCUGAGUUUGGACCCUAAAAGAGACUAAUAGGUAAUGUAAAUUUUGCUUCUGAUUUUUCCUUGUAUUUCUUUGUCAAUUAGAUAAAAAUCAGACCGUUCAAUUGCCCUCACAAUUAACAGUAUGAGGGUUUUCCUAUUUAAAAUAGAUACUAAGAUAUAAGAUGAUGUAGAGGCAUUCUUUUGCUUAUCGUUGCACAUUCUUGCUCUGCAUAACUUUCUUUUGAAAUAAAAGAAGUCACAAUAUUAUUUACCCCAUGUAAGCGAUUGGUUUUCAUAUUGCUUCUCCUGAAUGGACCCAAGUUAUAUUUUUUUGAUAGGUCUAAGUGAGUCACAAGUUUAUACUUAUACAGGCACUCGUGAUUGAUUGUACAUUGAAUUUUGCUCUCUAUCUUUGCUUCUUUUUCCUUUAUUCUUCUUCUGUGUUUCUCUAUUGGAGAAUUCCUAUUUCACAAUCAAUAUGAACAGAGUCGUGUCUAAGAAGUAUCUUACUUCUGCACCUAAGAGUUGCCUUGUUGCUCCCAACAAGGUUGAAUCCAGUUCAGGUGUAAAUGCAUCUUUUGGUGUGUCAUUGUGGGUUUUUUUGAAGUGUUUGUGCAGUAUGUCAUCUAUUCUUCUUGUGUGUAUCAUCUUUCUAUUUCAAAUAUCUUGUUUAAGAUAAAAUUGUUAAACUUCUUGCAUUACUGAUUUUUAAUUGUGAAACUAUGACUACUCAAAAGAAAAUAUCAGUCUUAUAAUAUGCUUUGCUGUGGUGAAGUCAGUCUAAUUGAUUAACUACCUCUUCGGGAGCUGCAUUCACUGGUGCAACAGCAUUCAGGUAUUUUGUUACAUAAUGAAAAUAACAACUGAAAAAUUGUGGGAACUAGGAAAUUUUGCUGCAUUGUAAUUUUUGAGGUUUGAAAAUUGUUUUUCACAUUGAAAACAUUAGAUUUCUGUCUUCCUCCUUUAUUAGCAUCUCGGAGAGAAAGAAGAGGAAGAGAAGAGGAAGUACGAUGAAAGAGUAUGAAAUAAGUUGCUCGUAGCGAUUGCGAUAGCUUAUUUGGUACAAUAUUUGUGUCUUGAAACAAGAUGUACAUGACAGUUUUUAAAAUGGGAAUAGCUAUUGGAUUGUAAUAGUAGCGUGCCCAUGCUUUCUAUAUCUAAGCAUAAAACAUGCGCUGAAAAACGUUAAGAAUUAGUUUACACCUAAAUGCUCAAAAUCUUAUUGUUUUAGAUACUAAAAUCUACCAAGAUCAAGUAAAACGGUGCAAGUAACAAAUGAACCGAGUAAAGUAAUAGAAAUAACAGUAAAUAGAAAACUCAGAUAUGGAGAGAAAGAAAGGGAGUCGUUUCAUUAUUGUUCUGCUGUCCAGUCCAAGAUGCAAGGACCCAAAGUCAAGACCUAAAGGUUGUCACAAUAUGCUCUGCUCAGAGGCAACACAUAGAAAGUUUUUUAUUCUUUGAUUUCUAAAUUUCAGUUUCCAACAUCAUUAAGUUUGCCAAAAAGUAAGUCGACCGAGCUAAUCGUAUUGUGAACUAAAUCAUCAGAAAGGAGCAUCCAUGCAUCUAGAAAGUGCCGAGUUUAAUUUCUUGAAAACUUGAAAGUGCUUAGAUAAGAGUCUGAGUUAUAAGGAGCAUCCAUGAGAAUGUUUAUCAUUUUAUUUCAAUAGUGAGUUGAUUAACAACGUAAUCCCUGUCAUGACUCUCUUACUCUCACUCUGCAUAAUAGACUCUUAUUAGACCAAACUUCAUGAUAGAAUAUUGGACUCUACUGUGUAUGUGUUAUUUUGGAAUUUAGAUGGAGCUUCAAGAAUGAGAAUUCUCUUCUUAGAGAAAUGCAUAUCUUUUUUAGAGAAUAAAUUAAAUGCUUCACUUUAUUUUAGAAAAACUAAUUAUUUAUCACCUAUAUUUCAAUACAGCUAAAAAUCUUACUCUUUUUAGGAUACACAACCUAUUGUGACUAAGAGAUAUGGAACUAAUUUUUUGAGUUUCUUGUUUCUUAAGUGAUUGAAGAGACAAAUUUGAUGUUAUACCCGUUCAGAUGACUAACAUUUUACUUUGAACAUGCUAUUGUAAAAAAGUUGUUAUUGUUAAUGAGAUUUCAAAGUUGGCUAUAGCUUGAAUAAUCUGUAAUCUGUGUUGAAAACCCCGAAAAAGGGCUAGAUAGAGAUAAACCAGAAACGAAUAUAGGAAAAAGAAGGAAACAACAUUAGCAACUUCAGUUGCAAGAAUAAUAAUCAUAUGGCAUUUCACAUAUGAUUGCUCACAGACAAGUUAAGAUAAUCUAAACUUCAAAGAAAACAGAGAAGGAGGGAGUUUGCAACUAAAGGCUAAAGAUUUAUAAAGUCGAUCAUCUAAAUUUAAAGCAUUCAAAUGGAAACAAAGUAUGUUUAAUGAGGGGUGAGAUGUAUGCAAAUAAAGAGGAAAAUUUUGAAAUUUUUUUAGAGCAUUCAAAUGGAAAUAAAUUAUGUAGAUUAAGGGCAUAGUCCUCUGCAUUUGUAGUAAAAUAGUUCUCUGGUGGAGAAGCACCAUGGUAUCGUAAGCAAGCAUAUUGUAUACUGUGGAUGCAUAUAUAUGUCGGAUGUCACACAUGCAUUGAAUUUUCUUUUUUCCACAGAAUCUGCUUAUGCUUGAGGAAUUCAACAGCAGUUGCAAUUAUAAUGGUUUCCAGAGUUUUCUGCAAACAACUAGCGUAUAGAAAAAAUGACUAAAUUGUAGUUAUGUAACAUGUAAGGUUACAAAUGUAGAAGACACUUGGGAUCUUGUGCAAUAUUAGAAACACAUUCUUCAUUUGUCCAAUAUUUUUAAAAAGUAUAGUGAUUCUCCUUGACACUGUUCACAUACAAAGUGAUUAAAAGUUUAACAUAAUCAUGUUUCUUUGGAUGUGGACUGAAUUUUUUUGACAGACAGAUGAAACCAGAAAUACGAGAGGCAGAGUACUCUCAAUGGAUAAAUCUAACCAUGUCGAUUUUGCAUGUUUUCACAUUGUGGUUCGACUCUUUCUCACUCUUUUGCAUAUGACUAUGUUUUUGCUCUCUUAUCUUGUUCUGUUAUGUGGCUGCUAUUCACAAGAGUUCAUCACUGAAGCCUCAUAUUUCAGGGAUGUGUAGCCCAUCAGUGUAAUUAAACUGACUGUGCACUAAUUUAUAUACUCUGACAAAUCCUCAUUAUUAACACAGUAUUUUCGUUUGUUGAACUCUCUUCAUCAGUCCUUUAAUUCGCGGGGAAACAAAAGAGAAGAGACUCCCAAAUUGGAUUGCUCAUAUUUUGUGCCUGGGAUUAAUUGAAGUUGGCGUACUUUUUUGCUACUCAUAGAUGUCGUGUACCGAGCUAAAAGGAAGAAAAGAAGAAAAAGAAAAAGAUUGUGUUGGAACAUAUACAAAUAAUAUAUCAGAAUAUUACAUGAUGGUUUGUAUUACGGACAUGUGCUAAGACUUAUUCUACUUUUACAUUUUUCAGAAUAACUUGUUGUCUCGGUUAUAAGGCAAAAAACUCUGCUUCUGCAGAGCACACAAAUUUAUCAGGGACCUAAUACAGCUUGUAGAAUAGCAUUUCAUUUCAAUUUGACUUUUAAUGCAACUUAAAAGUUAAUCAACUGUGUUAUUAGUUCUGCAUCAUUUUGAAUCAGGUUGUAUGGAUUUUGUUCAGAUUUGAUUUACGGUAUGUGAAGAAAAGUUCUUUACGUUGUUAAAUAAAAAAUUAAUAAGGUCCUCGGGCCCGGGCUCAGCCGGGCCAUCUCUAACUAGUAUAUUAUUUAUAUAUAGAAAAGAGAAGUUGGUCGACCAAGGACAAAAUUGACAUUUUACCUUGCCAUUUUAUUUUUCCCCUAUUUCUAUCUUUAACAGUGCUCACUAUUUCGACACAAACAAACGAUAUGGGUCUAGAAACAUCUCUCCUCUAUUCCAUCGAAACUUAGGUGAACUCUUUGAGUUCUCCUUCUUCAGAAUUUGAAGAAAAUCAUUUCGGACAUGCAGUAACAUAGUUGUGAACUUGUGAUCCUUUUAUAUGUCAAUAACUUGCUGAUCACACGGAUGAUGACAAGAUGGUUGAAGAAUCUAGGAGGUACUACACUAAAAUUUCAAGAUAAAAGAUCUAGGAGAGUCGAAAUUCUUCCUUCGAAUUGAAUUUGCCGGGUUAUAAUAACAAAUCUGAUGUAUCAACACAUGUAUGCUAUCAUAAAUCUUAAAGCUGAGAUUAGAACAAUGAGAUUACAGAUUAAAUUGACGGUAUCAUACAAAACUAACAGGUAAUCCUUUAGAGCUCAAGUUGAAUUUCGCAAGUUCUAAACUUGACGAGCCUACAGGAAACAGUGUAAGGUUCUAUAGAAUGCUGGAGUUACCAUAGAUUGAUUGGCAUAAUUGUUAUAGUCAUAGUGUAUAAUUGUGUUGUCGAGUAUUAGAUUGUUACACAGUGUAUAAUAAUUGACAUGAGGUUGUUUCUUUUGUUUAUUUAAGUUGAUAGAUGUAGUAGUGCGGGACAUAUAUUUGUUUUUCCCAUUUUUUUUCUGCAGCUUUUUCCAAAGAGCUAAAAUACAUAACUUGUCAGAAAUAUAGAAGCUUCCAUUCUUGAGAAGUUACAAAUGAAUAUGGAACGAGACCACAAACUCUGAACAUUUUCCCAUCUCAGCCCGUGCAUAUCAACAGUUAAUGUUGGCUUAAACUUGCUACUCUCGGAACACGUUAUGACUUCGCCAAAUAGCUGCAUCGUGGUUUUCUUUUCUUUUUUUUUUUUGCUACGCUAAUUGUUAUACUCCGUCCACCACAUUCGUCUCUUGCAUUCUAUUAUAUACAUAGUUGAGAUCAGUGGGAUAGAGAUGCUUCCUGAAUGGUUCAAAGAAGUCCAACUUGAGAGA